UGCAGAAUCCCGUGAACCAUCGAGUCUUUGAACGCAAGUUGCGCCCGAAGCCAAUAGGCCGAGGGCACGUCUGCCUGGGUGUCA
Molecule: ribosomal RNA, 84 nt
Filed under: Sphallerocarpus gracilis
Lineage: Eukaryota; Viridiplantae; Streptophyta; Magnoliopsida; Apiales; Apiaceae
Also listed under: 1 other name
Description: partial 5.8S ribosomal RNA
Rfam family: 5.8S ribosomal RNA
About the family: 5.8S ribosomal RNA (5.8S rRNA) is a component of the large subunit of the eukaryotic ribosome.
Source: RNAcentral